AAUUCCAAAGGCUAAGGAAAGCAUUGCGCAUGCGGGAAACCCACGCUGAGGGAAGAAUCAUGGGAAAGAGUAGAGACGGGGUUCCACCGUGUUAGCCAGGAUGGUCUCGAUCUCCUGACCUCGUCAUCCUCCCGCCUUGGCCUCCCAAAGUGCUGGGAUUACAGGCUUGAGCCACCGCGCCCCGCUCUUUCGUGUUCCAAAGGCUUUUUAAAUAAACUUCCACUCCUGUCCUGGAUUCUGCUUUAUGGCCCUCAGUCGAAUUCUUUCUUCUGAGGAGGCAAGGACUGAAGUUGCUUCUGACCAGUACAGGAGAAAACGAAUACAGCAGGGAUGACUUCCACCAGCUCCACUUUGCAGCUCUGAGGUGUAUUAAAAAUAAACCUAGAGCCCCACCAAAUGAAUCCGCUGGCACGUGGACCUCAGAUGGGGGAAACUGAGGACUGAAUUCUGACCACCCUCCUUUGUUCUAAAUUUCUUCCUGAAGGACCUGGAAGAAGUCAUGCCACGGGCCAGACCUUAACAUUCCUUUCGGCUUACCCCAGGAUUUCAGACGAAGCUUCACUUUCCUAACCAGUCACAAAUCAGAGAAUUUUUGAUUCCACCUAUGACCUGUGAGCUCCUGCUUCAAGAUAUUCCACCUUUUUUAGGCCAAACCAAUGUAUAACCUCCAAGUGUCGAUUUACACUUUCGACUGUAACUUCUGCUUUCCUGAGAUUUACCCCUGCCUUUAAAAACCCUUGCUUGUAAUCCCUCAGGGAGGCCGUGUAUUUAUUAAUCAUGAGCUGCCCAAUUCUCCUUGCUUGGUGCCCUGCAAAUAAACACCCUCUUUUCUCCCACUGCAAAACCUCAGUGUGGAUGUUUGGCUUUACUUCACCCCCAGGAAAGCAGACCCAGGUUUGACUCAGCAACAACAUCUGUUUCUAUUUUUCUCUGUAUAAAUAUUAAAAACCAUAAGUACAUGCUAUCUCCAAUUCCAAUAUAAACCCAUAGGGCUCAUUCUGGCCUUCCCAUUUUCUUAUGUGUAAUUCAUUUCUCUGAAAAUGAGAAUUCGAGUACUCAGAUAUUUACUUACCUACUCAAUCCUAGAAUAGAAAUAAAAUAAUUCAACAUAA
RNAcentral lists this small RNA (1112 nucleotides) under Homo sapiens (human). RNAcentral's name for it is "PPP1R3B divergent transcript (ENSG00000285236.3)". Lineage: Eukaryota; Metazoa; Chordata; Mammalia; Primates; Hominidae. The record is from RNAcentral.